GAGGGCAAGUUUGGGGCCAGCAGCCGCGGUAAUUCCAGCUCCAAUAGCGUAUAUUAAAGUUGUUGCAGUUAAAAAGCUCGUAGUUGGAUUUUUGUUAAUAAUUUAUAUAAAAUAUUUUGAUGAAUAUUUAUAUAGUAUUAACAUAAUUCAUAUUACUAUUUUUUUUUUUAGUAUAUGAAAUUUUACUUUGAGAAAAUUAGAGUGCUUAAAGCAGGCAUAUGCCUUGAAUACUCCAGCAUGGAAUAAUAUUAAAGAUUUUUAUCUCUUUUAUUGGUUCUAAGAUAAGAAUAAUGAUUAAUAGGGACAGUUGGGGGCAUUUGUAUUUAACAGUCAGAGGUGAAAUUCUUAGAUUUGUUAAAGACAAACUAAUGCGAAAGCAUUUGCCAAGGAUGUUUUCAUUAAUCAAGAACGAAAGUUAGGGGAUCGAAGACGAUCAGAUACCGUCGUAGUCUUAACCAUAAACUAUGCCAACUA
RNAcentral lists this ribosomal RNA (474 nucleotides) under Cryptosporidium hominis. RNAcentral describes it as "partial small subunit ribosomal RNA". It matches the Rfam family "Eukaryotic small subunit ribosomal RNA", at positions 551 to 1048 of the family's 1831-position model. The record is from RNAcentral. Lineage: Eukaryota; Apicomplexa; Conoidasida; Eucoccidiorida; Cryptosporidiidae.